GAAAGUACAGUUAUUUCGUAAUUUCUAGGUUACGUCUAGAAGAAUCUCUGUGAAGAGAUGCUUUUG
This 66-nucleotide transfer RNA is filed under the name Hoplopleura akanezumi. RNAcentral's name for it is "tRNA-Val". Lineage: Eukaryota; Metazoa; Arthropoda; Insecta; Psocodea; Hoplopleuridae. The record is from RNAcentral.